ACCUGGCUGGCUCAGUCUAUAGAGCAUGUGACUCUUGAUCUUGGGAUUAUGAGUUCGAGCCCCAUGUUGGGUG
Molecule: non-coding RNA, 73 nt
Organism: Ailuropoda melanoleuca (giant panda)
Lineage: Eukaryota; Metazoa; Chordata; Mammalia; Carnivora; Ursidae
Source: Rfam